Molecule: transfer RNA, 72 nt
Filed under: Capra hircus (goat)
Lineage: Eukaryota; Metazoa; Chordata; Mammalia; Artiodactyla; Bovidae
Also listed under: 1 other name
Rfam family: tRNA
About the family: Transfer RNA (tRNA) molecules are approximately 80 nucleotides in length. Their secondary structure includes four short double-helical elements and three loops (D, anti-codon, and T loops).
Source: Rfam by way of RNAcentral
UUCCUAGAGGCUCAGAUGGUAAAGAAACUGCCUACAAUGCAGUAGAACCAGGUUCAAUUCCUGGAUGGGGAA